AGAGUUUGAUCCUGGCUCAGAAUGAACGUUGGCGGCGUGGAUUAGGCAUGCAAGUCGAACGGGCCUGGUAGCAAUAUCAGGUCAGUGGCGUAAGGGUGAGUAAGGCGACGGCAACCAACCCCAAGGUUGGGCAUAGCCGCGGGAAACUGCGGGUAAUUCCCAGCGAAGUUCGUACCGGGCAUCCGGUGUGAACCAAAGUUCUGGCGCCGUGGGACGGGCCGUCGUGGUAUUAGGUAGUUGGCGGGGUAAUGGCCCACCGAGCCUCUGAUGCCUACCGGGCGUGCGAGCGUGGCCCGGCACACUGGGACUGAGACACUGCCCAGACUCCUACGGGAGGCUGCAGUCGAGAAUCUUCGGCAAUGGGCGCAAGCCUGACCGAGCGACGCCGCGUGGAGGAUGAAGGCCUUCGGGUUGUAAACCCCUUUCAGCAGGGACGAAGCGAGAGUGACGGUACCUGCAGAAGAAGCGCCGGCUAACUACGUGCCAGCAGCCGCGGUAACACGUAGGGCGCAAGCGUUGUCCGGAAUUAUUGGGCGUAAAGAGCUCGUAGGCUGUCUGUUGCGUCCGCUGUGAAAUCUCGGGGCUUAACCCCGAGCCUGCAGUGGAUACGGGCAGACUAGAGGUAGGUAGGGGAGAAUGGAAUU
Molecule: ribosomal RNA, 644 nt
Filed under: uncultured bacterium
Lineage: Bacteria
Description: bacterial SSU rRNA
Rfam family: Bacterial small subunit ribosomal RNA
Source: RNAcentral